This 21459-nucleotide long non-coding RNA is filed under the name Vitis vinifera (wine grape). RNAcentral's name for it is "long non-coding RNA (VVIN_LNC004863)". The record is from RNAcentral. Lineage: Eukaryota; Viridiplantae; Streptophyta; Magnoliopsida; Vitales; Vitaceae.
UCAAUUUUACUGUUUUUUUUUUCCUUUUUAAUCUUUGGAUCGAAUCAUUGCUUAGUUCUUGCUUAAUUUCUCCAUUUUAUGGUGGGUCUUUGAUUGCAGGUUUAGCUCUGCGCGAGAACUGGGAAAUUUAAUUGUGACCUCCAAUCUAAUCGACUCUGCUUUGACUAAAAUUCUUGAGCUUCAAAGAGACCAAACAGCCUUGCCUUCCCCCGUUCAAUACAGAGUUUUUUAUCCAUCUCCCAAGUGCACAAUUGUAGCUUUUGUCUCUUCACCUGACUGCACUCAAAACCCUCUUCCUGGACAAGGAGAUUUAGUUCCCUCUCCUCUCUUUGACUUCCUCUGCACCGAAGAAUACCCUUCCGUCUCCAUUAACGGAGCCGCAUUAACCCUCUUUACCUCUCUCUACGAUCAUCUCUCUGGACUAAUAGAUGAGGUCAAAAUCUGAUACUUGUUUUAAUUUACGUUAACUUUUCGUUAACAAUUGUGAGACACGAAACAGCUUGACCAUGAGAUCUCCCUCAUGGAGUCAAAACCCGUGUUGGUAUCUGUUUUUAGAUCAACUUAUAUAUAUAUAUAUAUAUAUAUAUAUAUAUCUUGUGGAUAAAAGGAAAGUUUACAAGUGAGAAUAGUGGCAUUUUUCUGACAGAUUUCACACCGUUGCUUGUUUUGCAGUUGACUGUGAUUGAAGGUCGAUUAAUCAUCACUGGGCACUCGAUGGGAGGAUCCGUUGCUUCUCUCUUCACCUUAUGCCUGCUAGAAGUCAUUAAUAUAUCAAAACCCAAAUGCCGCCCCAUUUGCAUCACCUUUGGUUCACCCCUCAUAGGCGACUUUGGCCUCCAACACUCCAAUUGGAAUUCUUUCUUCUUGCAUGUAGUGUCCAACCAAGAUCUAGUCCCCGGACUCUUCCUCCCAUCCGGCAGAUCUCCUCCCACAUCCUCCCAUUCACAAACUACUGGUUACAAGCCCUUUGGGACAUAUCUCUUGUGCUCUGAACUUGGUUGUGCUUGUUUUGACAACCCUGAUUUAAUUUUGGAAUUGCUGAAAGUCAUAUCAUCAGAGGUUGCCGGAGGAUUGCGGGAUGUUGAUUACAGGAAGAUUUUAAUAAACCUCAAGGAGAGGGCAAUCUUCAAGGGACUUCAGCAGGUGGGUGAAAGGUUUGCAGAUCCCUUGUCAGCUGGGAUCGUCAUGGACCUUGAGAUAAUUGGAUUUGAUCAAACAAAGGUAAACAGCUUUCUCCCAAUUAAUGAUGUAGUAUGGUUUACACUCAACUUCACCAAAACCUGCAACAACUGCCCUAUUUAGAUUUGCCUUCCUGUUCUUUGGGUUCUUCUAUAACUUCUCAUUUUUUAAAUUCAUGGCAGCUGUUGCGGCACAACAUUGAUAUCAACACUGUGAUAAGGAUACUGGGAGUGGAAGCCAGAAUCCUAGCCCACAAAAAUAAAGCUUCUGAUGCCAAGAAACUGAAUGACAUAAAAAUACACAUGGCCCAGCUAGAAUGGUAUAAGAAGAAAUCAAAAGAUCUGAACAAGGGUUACUACGACUGCUUCAAAAACCAGGGGUCAAAAAGGGACAUUAAAAUUGAACAGUAUAGGGGACACCUCACAAUAUACUGGAAAGACAUGGUUGCACAAGUACAGAGGAAGCCCCAGAAGGAAGGAGCAUCAUUUCGAACCAGUUGGCUCUAUCCAGGGACAACUUAUAGAAGAAUGGUUGAACCACUGGACAUUGCUGCCUUCUACAGAGAGGGUAGAACAGACUACAUAAACAAUGGAAGAUCUCCUCAUUACAAGCUGUUGCAGCAAUGGUAUGAGGAAGAUGUGAAGCCCCCAUCCAGAGAUAAGCUCGAUUCCAAGAAACUAAAGGUGUCUGGUAUCCUAACUGAGGAUUCUUUGUUUUGGGCACAUGUGGAGGAGGCUCUCUUGUCAUGCGAAUCGCUCAAGAGUGCAAACUCUACUCUUGAGCAGAGAAAAUCAUCAUGGGAUAAUCUGGUUAAGUUUGGGGAGUAUGUAAUGGAACAGAUUGGAAACUAUGCAGUGUCCCCUGAGAUUUUCUUGGGGGAAAGCAGCUUCAUGAAAUGGUGGGGAGUGUAUGAGGACUACAUAGAUGCUUCCAAUAAUUCCUAUGGGUCACCAUUGAUCAGCUUUAUGAAGAACCGUAGUUAUAGACUGUAUGGUUAGAGGGCAAUCCAGUUUGUGUAUUGUGUUUAUUGUAUUGUGAGCAUUCAAUAGAUAAAACUAGAAAGAGCGUGACCUUUUUAUGACAACUUUAGAAACCAGGGGUUAAAAGAGACAUUACAAACUGAAGUUUUUGAGAGGAAACCUCAAGAGUAUACUGGGAAGCCAUGGUGGAACAAGUAGAGAGGAAGCCUCAGAAGGAAGGAGCAAUGGUUGAACCACUUGACAUUGUUGCCUACUACAGGGAGGGUGUAAGAAACAACAUAACCGAGGGAAGAUCUGAACGUUAAACGUUGUCCAAUUAUUAUAAAUGUCUUAUACAUUACGUGUGAAAAUACCAAAAAAAAUUAUAUUCAACAUUUAUGUUUGUAUACAAGCAAUAUUUUGGAUAGUUUGAUAUAAAAAACAAAUGAAGAAAAUGAAGAAAAACAUACAAAUAUAUUUACAAUGGACAAACUUAUACAAUUAGUAUAAAUGUCUUGUAUAUUUAGUACAAAUGUCUCGUACUUUGUAAAAAUAUAAAAAUAUAGUAUUUGACUUUUAUAUAUGUGUGAAAAUGUAAAAAGAAAAAGAAAAAUAGUUAGAGCAUUUGGUACCGUGAGUGAUGACUUCACCUAAAGAAAGGUUAAUGAAUAUUAUGGUCUCGAUGGAAGAGCGACUCCGGUAAAAUAUAUGGAUUAAAUUGAUGCUUUUCUUUUGACGAUGAAGUAGUUGAGUUAUGAAUACGAGGUUUUGCUAACAGCAUUGAAGGCAAGGAUUCCCUAAUAUACUCCAAUUCAUAUUCAAUUUGUAGACCUUCAACUAACUACUCUUGCUAACGAGCAUAUCCAAGUCAAUACAUAAGAUUAAUUAAGAUUAAGUAUUACGUAUGAUAAUUGAAACCCUAUUUAAAUAAAUAAUGACACAUAUAUAAAAAAUAUAUAUAUUUUUAAAAAAAUAAAUAACAAUUUAGAGAAUUUCAUAACUUAGCAUCAAACCUAUUGUAAGAAAGAGUAUUAUACAAUGUAGGGUUUAGGAUCCAAGUCAACCUAAGAUCAAAUUUAAGUUUUAAGAUCAAUUCACAUUCAAAACUAAGGUUUUAAGUUUCAAAAAUAUAUUUCUUAAACCAAUUAAAUGGAAAAAAGAAAAUUACAAAGAAAAUUUCUCCCUCAUCAGUUUCUUUUAUCUUGAAAACUAAAGGAAAUAUAUAUCAAUAUUUGAGAUGGAAAUUCAUAAUCUUAGGUGGUGUUUGUUUUUUUGGCUUUUUGCUGAAAACUAUUUAGUUUUAGAAUUUAGGUUUUUUUUUUUUUUUACUUUUUCAUGACUUAUAAUAAACUUUUUACUAAAUAGAAAAAACCAAAAUAUGUGGUUUUUUCUAAAUAGAAAAAAUAACACAAUGGUUUUUUUUACUUUUUAAUACUUAAUAGAAAUAAAAUACUACAAAAACAAACAUCUUAAUAUUUAAUACUAUUAAGUAUUAAGGUUCUAUUUAGAAUUAAGUAAAAAAACAAACACCACCUUAGAAACACAAAGAACAAAGAGAGUAUGAAGAGACCAUACCAUGAGAGAUUUUCCGAAAGGUUGGUAAACCAUGGUAAUCACCUUUGAGUCUUGCUGAGAAAAACAAACCUUAUUUAUUUUUAUUUUUUUAUCAUUUUUUCUCUUGUGUGGUGUACAUUUAAGAAAAACAAAUCUCAAAAAAAAAAAAAAACACAAACCAAAUAAUGCCAGAAUUUGGGUUGAGAAACACCCAAAAGAUAGUGGCCCAAUACAUGUGCCUAAGAAAAUCUUCAUGAGCCGAUAAACAUAGUCACAAAACUAGUAACAGCCUUGUAGCCAUAGUUGGUGUAGUAUGAGCAAGUGGGGUAUGAAGUAGGUAGGUGAGUAUUGCAAUGAAAUUUCCAGCACUGCUUCCUGAAUUAAGAAAUCACAUACCCAAGUCUUAGUCGUCGUCGUCGUCGUACCGUGUGAGAACCGGGAAGAAUCUUUGCUCGUAGACUGGCUUUUGUAGUCUUUCUUUAACAAUUACAAGUUAUCUGAAUUCCCUUCAUCCUCCUAUAUAAUAUUGUUUUGGUCUUGUUCUUGUUGCAUUGUGGCUAGGCAUCUCCAUGGAAGGAAGGAGGAUGAAUCAAGUUCCUUUGUAUGAAUCAAUUUCUCUGCUCUUUUUUUUUUUCAAUCCUUGAAUCGAAUCAUUGCUUAGUUCUUGCUUUAAUUUCUCCAUUUUCUGUUGGGUCUUUGAUUGCAGGUUUAGCUCUGCAAGAGAACUGGGAAAUUUAAUUGUGACCUCCAAUCUAAUCGACUCUGCUUUGACUAAAAUUCUUGAGCUUCAAAGAGACCAAACAGCCUUGCUUUCCCCCGUUCAAUACAGAGUUUUUUUAUCCAUCUCCCAACUGCACAAUUGUAGCUUUUGUCUCUUCACCUGACUGCACUCAAAACCCUCUUCCUGGACAAGGAGAUUUAGUUCCCUCUCCUCUCUUUGACUUCCUCUGCACCGAAGAAUACAAGUCCGUCUCCAUUAACAGAGCUGCAUUAACCCUCUUUACCUCUCUCCACGAUCAUCUCUCUGGACUAAAAACUCAGGUCAAAAUAUGAUAGUUGUUUUUAUUUUCGUUUCCUUUUUGUUAACAAUUGUGAGACAUGAAACAGCUUGACCAUGAGAUCUCUCUCAUAGAGUCAAACUACCUGAAGAAGAAGAAGACGUUACACAUAUCCAUCUGCGUUGCAUCAUCGCAUUACCCAUUGAUCGGUUGUGAUUCAACUCUUAAUAGGAAGACAGUAGAACUGGUGUUGGUAUCUGUUUUUAGAUCAGCUUAUAUGUAUCUUGUUGCUAAAAAGGGAAUGUUUAGAAGUGAGAUUAAUGGGAUUAUUCUGACAUGGAUUUCAUAUGGUUACCUGUUUUGCAGUUGACUGUGAUUGAAGGUCAAUUAAUCAUCACUGGGCACUCCCUGGGAGGAGCCGUUGCUUCUCUCUUCACCUUAUGCCUGCUAGAUGAAAAUUUAUUAAAACCCAAAUGCCGCCCCUUUUGUAUCACCUUUGGUUCACCCCUCGUCGGCGGCUUUGGCCUCCAACACUCCAUAUGGAAUUCUUUCUUCCUGCAUGUAGUGUCUAACCAAGACCCAGUCCCCGGUCUCUUCCUCCCAUCUGGCAGAGGCAGAUCUACGCCCACAUCCUCCCAUUCACAAACUACCGGUUACAAGCCCUUUGGGACAUAUCUCUUGUGCUCUGAACUUGGUUGUGCUUGUUUUGACAACCCUGAUUUAAUUUUGGAAUUGCUGAAAGUCAUAUCAUCAGAGGUUGCCGGAGGAUUGCAGGAUGUUGAUUAUGGGGAGAUUUUAAGAAACCUCAAGGAGAGGGCAAUCUGCAAGGGACUUCCGCAGGUGGGUGAAAGGUUUGCAAAUCCAUUUUCAGCUGGGAUCAUCAUGGAACUUGAGACAAUUGGAUUUAAUCAAACAAAGGUAAACAGCUUUCUCCCAUCUAAUGAUGUUAUGGAACAUGGUUUACACCUCAUUAAAUACUGCAACAACUGCCCUAUUUAGAUUUACCUUCUUGUUCUUUGGGAUUUUCCAUAACUAGACUCAUUUUUUAAUUUCAUGGCAGCUGCUGCAGCAUAACAUUGAUAUCGAGACUGUGAUAAGCGCAAUGGAAGCGGAAGCAAGAAACCUAACCCAGAAAAAUAAAGCUUCCGAUGCCAAGAAACUGAAUGAAAUAAAAAUAGACAUGACCCGGCUAGAAUUGUAUAAGAAGAAUUCGAACAUGGGUUACUACGAUUGCUUCAAAAACCAGGGGUCUAAAAGGGACAUCCACGUUGAACAGUUUAGGGUAAACCUCACAGGGUACUGGGAAGGCAUGGUUGCACAAAUACAGAGGAAGCCUCAUAAGGAAGGAGCAACAUUUCGAACCCGUUGGCUCUAUGCAGGGACGGUUUAUAGAAGAAUGGUUGAACCACUGGACAUUGCUGCCUUCUACAGAGAGGGUAGAAAAGACUACAUGAAUAAAAGAUCUGCACAUUACAAGCUGUUGCAGGAAUGGUAUGAGGAAGAUGUGAAACCCCCCUCUAGAGAUAAGCUUGAUUCCAAGAAGCAAAAGGUGUCCAGUAUCCUAACUGAGGAUUCUUGCUUUUGGGCACAUGUGGAGGAGGCUAUCUUGUCAUGCGAAUUGCUCAAGAGUGAAAACUGUAAUCUUGAGGAGGGAAAAUCAUCAUGGGAUAAUCUGGUUAAGUUCGAGGAGUAUGUAAUGGAACAGAUUGACAACUAUGCAGUGUCCCCUGAGAUUUUCUUGGAGAAAAGCAGCUUCAUGAAAUGGAGGGGACUGUAUGAGGGCUACAUAGAUACUCGCAGUAAUUCCCAUAGCUCGCCAUUGAUCAGCUUUAUGAAGAAUCGUAGUUAUAGACAAUAUGGAUAGAGGGGUAAUCCAGUUUGUGUGUUGUGUGUAUUGUUUUGUGAGCAUUCAAUGGAUAGAACUAGAAAGAGUGUGACCUUUUCCUUUUUUUUUUCAGUUGCUGCCCAUAUUCUCAGCACUAUUUUCUUCCUUCUUUUCCUCAGUUUUUUUGUUAAGAAAUGAAUAUUAUGAUGUUGCCGGGAUGCACUUUCAUUUUUGUUCCAUUACAUUGUGUUUUAUUCAUAUCCUAAACAAAUAAAUGUAAACAAGAAAAUCAAAUGAGACUUCAAAGAGUCUGUUCCUUUUAAAGCAAGGGAAAAAAAGGACAUGUUUGUUUACUUCCACAGCUGGGUAGAUUCAACUCCACCAAAAUUGGCAACAACUUCCCAUUGAAAAAUUCCUUUUAAGCUUGAAUGACAUAAAACUAGAUAUGUUCCAGCUAGAAUGGUACAAGAAAGAAAUCAAAAGAUGAGCACAAUGGGUUAUUAUGACAGCUUUAGAAACCUGGGGUGUAAAAGAGACAUUAAAAUGGAACCGAGGGGAAGACAUUGUAGAACAAGUAAAGAGGAAGCCUCACCAGGAAGGGCAGCUUUGCAAACCCUCUGGCUCUGUACAGGAACGAAUUAUAGAAAGAUGGUUGAACCACUUGACAUUGCUGCCUACCACAGAGAGGGUGGAAGAAACUACAUAACCAAUGGAGGAUGUAAACAUUACACGCUAUUAGAGCAAUGAUGCAAUGAAGAGAAGGGGACUUUGUCUUCCAAUAAUUUAAGAAAAUAAAACCAAAUAAUGCCAGAAUUUGGGUUGAGAAACACCCAAAAGAUAGUGGCCCAAUAUGAAGUAGUCACAAAACUAGUAACAGCCUUGUGGCCAUAGUUGGUGUAGUAUGAGCAAGUGGGGUAUGAAGUAGGUAGGUGAGUAUUGCAAUGAAAUUUCCAGCACUGCUUCCUGAAUUAAGAAAUCACAUACUCAAGUCUUAAUCGUUGUCAUCAUACCGUGUGAGAACCGAGGAAGAAUCUUUGCUCUUAGACUGGAUUUUGUAGUCUUUCUUUAACAAUUACAAGUUAUCUGAAUUCCCUUCAUCCUCCUAUAUAAUAUUGUUUUUGGUCUUGUUCUUGUUGCAUUGUGGCUAGGCAUCUCCAUGGGAGGAAGGAGGAUGAAUCAAGUUCCUUUGUAUGAAUCAAUUUCUCUGCUCUUUUUUUUUUCAAUCCUUGAAUCGAAUCAUUGCUUAGUUCUUGCUUUAAUUUCUCCAUUUUCUGUUGGGUCUUUGAUUGCAGGUUUAGCUCUGCAAGAAAACUGGGAAAUUUAAUUGUGACCUCCAAUCUAAUCGACUCUGCUUUGACUAAAAUUCUUGAGCUUCAAAGAGACCAAACAGCCUUGCCUUCCCCCGUUCAAUACAGAGUUUUUUAUCCAUCUCCCAACUGCACAAUUGUAGCUUUUGUCUCUUCACCUGACUGCACUCAAAACCCUCUUCCUGGACAAGGAGAUUUAGUUCCCUCUCCUCUCUUUGACUUCCUCUGCACCGAAGAAUACAAGUCCGUCUCCAUUAACAGAGCUGCAUUAACCCUCUUUACCUCUCUCCACGAUCAUCUCUCUGGACUAAAAACUCAGGUCAAAAUAUGAUAGUUGUUUUUAUUUUCGUUUCCUUUUUGUUAACAAUUGGGAGACAUGAAACAGCUUGACCAUGAGAUCUCUCUCAUAGAGUCAAACUACCUGAAGAAGAAGAAGACGUUACACAUAUCCAUCUGCGCUGCAUCAUCGCAUUACCCAUUGAUCGGUUGUGAUUCAACUCUUAAUAGGAAGACAGUAGAACUGGUGUUGGUAUCUGUUUUUAGAUCAGCUUAUAUGUAUCUUGUUGCUAAAAAGGGAAUGUUUAGAAGUGAGAUUAAUGGGAUUAUUCUGACAUGGAUUUCAUAUGGUUACCUGUUUUGCAGUUGACUGUGAUUGAAGGUCGAUUAAUCAUUACUGGGUACUCGAUGGGAGGAUCCGUUGCUUCUCUCUUCACCUUAUGCCUGUUAGAAGUCAUCAAUUUAUCAAAACCCAAAUGCCGCCCCAUUUGUAUCACCUUUGGUUCACCCCUCAUAGGCGACUUUGGCCUCCAACACUCCAAUUGGAAUUCUUUCUUCUUGCAUGUAGUGUCCAACCAAGAUCUAGUCCCCGGACUCUUCCUCCCAUCCGACAGAUCUCCUCCCACAUCCUCCCAUUCACAAACUACUGGUUACAAGCCCUUUGGGACAUAUCUCUUGUGCUCUGAACUUGGUUGUGCUUGUUUUGACAACUCUGAUUUAAUUUUGGAAUUGCUGAAAGUCAUAUCAUCAGAGGUUGCCAGAGGAUUGCGGGAUGUUGAUUACAGGAAGAUUUUAAGAAACCUCAAGGAGAGGGCAAUCUGCAAGGGACUUCCGCAGGUGGGUGAAAGGUUUGCAAAUCCAUUUUCAGCUGGGAUCAUCAUGGAACUUGAGACGAUUGGAUUUAAUGAAACAAAGGUAAACAGCUUUCUCCCAUCUACUGAUGUUAUGGAACAUGGUUUACACAUCAUUAAAUACUGCAACAACUGCCCUAUUUAGAUUUAGGGCAAUGAUGAAAAUAUCAGUAAUCACGGAUAUAUCAGUAUUUCGAUUUUACGGAUAUAUCGGAUAUAUCGGAGAUAUAUCGGUAGAUAUUUUGAAAAAAAAUAUCGGCAAGCUUAAAAUUGUUAAAAACUCAUGAAAAUAUAAGAAAAUCUCAUAAUAAUAUAAUUAAAAGUAUAAUAGACAUUUUAAAGUUAUUUUAUUGAAAAUUUUGAUAUAUGUAUAACAUGAUUUAUCAUAUUUGAUAAUAAUAUCGUAUGCGUCGAUAAAAAUAUGAAUUUUAUAAGUGUACAUUUAUUAUUAAAUUACACCUAAUAUUAUGAUAUCUGAUUAUAAUAUGUCUAAUUUUAAAAUAUAUAUUAGUAUUAAAAUAUGAUCCAUUUAAUUCAAUUGUAUUAAACAAUAUAAAAUAAAUAAUGAUAUAUAUAUAUAUAUAUAUAAUUUUUUAAUAUUUAAUUAAUUAUUAAUGAUAUUAAAAACAUUAUGAAGAAAAUUAUAUAAUUUUUUAAUUUUUGGUAAUUAAUUAAAAGACUUUGCAUUUAAUUAUAAAUUAAUUAUAAUUAAUUUACUCUUUAAAAUAUUCUUAUAUUUUCUUUAUAUAAUGAAUUUAAGUAUAUAUAUAGUUGUUGCAUAUUAUAUAUUAAAGGACAACUUAGCCCAAGUGGUAAGCGAGUGAACCCCAAUGUGAGGCAUUGUAGCACGUGCACUGUAGCAUCACUGUAGCGACUCUGACUUUCGUUGACCCGCAUUGACUACACGAUAUAUCGGAGAAAAAUCACUGAUUUAUCGCCAAAUCACCAAUAAAUCGCCGAUUUCUCGCGAUAAAUACCAAAAUAUAGUGUCGAAACCCUUCGAUACACGAUUUUUCGGCGCAUUUUCUUACUUGGAUUUACCUUUUUGUUCUUUGGGAUCUUCCAUGACUCAUUUUUUAAUGCCAUUUUAUUUUCCUUUUUGUUUCUAAAUUUUUAAAAAAUCGUUUUCACUUCUUUUUUUUAAGAAAAUUUUGGCAAAUUUUGAAAAUAUAAUAUUAGUGUUUUCACUUCUUUCUUUUUUUUUUUUUUCUUUUUUUUUUUAAACUCAAUUUUCUAAAAAAUGAAAAUAGAAAAACAUUGUCUAAACAUGUUUGUAAACUUAAUUUUAUUUUUUUAUAAAUGAAAAAAAAAAUCUAAAUGAGUAAGGCUUUAUUAAUUUUAAUUUUUUUCUUUUCCUUAUAUUUUCUUAUUUUAUUCCAAAUUUUCUUGCAACCAAACAUAAUCUAAAUGUUUACAACUUUUAUUGUAAGGAAUGAAUGACACUACUUUGUGAACUUUUAUGAUAAUAUUUUGAAUCAUAAAUUGUGUUUUUUUUAGUAAUAUCAAUUUUAUUACCAAUGACUUAAUUGUUAAUAACAAAAUAUAAUAUUUAUAAAUAUUUUUAUUCUCAACAGGCUACAAUUUUUACUCUUGUGAUAAAAAAAAUUUUGUCAUAAAUUACACAUUAUGAUGAGUUUUUCUAUUUUCCUUAUCAGCCAAUUCAACAAAUAUCAUAUAUAUUGUAAUGGCUAACAAAUUUUCACAUAAAUUUUUUAUAAGAUAAAGUAGAAUGGAAUUAUUCAAUUUCAAAAAAAAAAAAAAUGGUACCUAAUGAAAAAGAUAAAAUAUAUAGAUCAUCUCGAAGAAAUCAGGAAAGAUAAAUGAUGAGACCAUAUAUAGGACCCUUGAUGGAGACUAUUUUAAUUGAAGUGGUGUGCUCCUUCCGACUCAGAACAUGUUCAGCAUUGCACACAAACUAACAUCGUCGAUCUUGAGUAUGAAAAAGGUGAUUAGAUUCCAAGGUUGUCGUUUGUCCCAACUCCUCAUAUUAGAGGUGAUGCUCAAGCUAACGUGCCUCGCAGUUGAGCCCCGGCCAAUCGGUCUAAUAUGCUUUUCCAAUGGUGAGUUUCACUGCCACCAUGUAUUACAUUAAUUCCGAUAGCGCACAAGUUGUGUUUGUGCUAUUGCUUUUUGCCCUCACAAACAUAUACACAAGAGACAUUCAGACCAGAUCUGUUCUACCAUCCUCUAGGAAAGCAUUGUAGGUCAUUUGAAAUUGGGAUUUCAGCACCAGAGUCAAAUUGCCUUCCUUCCUGAAAGAUGAGCAUUUUUUAUACUCUUACAUCGGCUUUUAUGGAAAUGAAAUCAGCUUCUCAUUCUGUUACAUUUUUCAAUUUUGCUGCCUAUAACUGCUCACUGCCUGUUUGUGAGACAUUAUCCAGAUUUUCCCUGAUCAAUUAUAGAGAGGUCAUUGGACUCAUCCAUGAUUGGAAUUUCCUGUUAUCAUUAUUUGCAAAUCAUCAACCAUUUGUCAUGAUAUCUUAAGUUAAGCUGAGCACGAAUUUCAGCUAAGAUCCUCAGAACUAGAAAUAUGCACUGCAGGUAUUACUUGAUAUGUGAAUAUCCAAUACAAUAUUUUUUUACUAAGAGGAAUACGAAUUUGAAACACUUUCCAAUAAUUUAUCAAGUCAUAUUUUCGUGCUGUCGUGAUACAUGUGUCUACUGUAUGCAUGGCUUUUCUUUUCUACACAUGCCUUUAUCUUUGCACAUGACUCUUUUGAUACACGCCAGCAUCAAGGCAAUUGCCUAAAUCUAAAUCACAUCCUUUGUGUCACGUCUUCCUUGUUACCACGGUCCUCUUGUACACCAUGGUCCCUUAAUGUAACUUGUGCCACAAGCCCUUUGUGCAUGAAUUCAAAUUGUUCAAUCAUUUCGCCAUUUACACCUUUUAAGGUCCAAUAAGCGUAUACAAGAGACUACACUCAUUCUAGAUGAUAAAGUACAUUCAACUAACUACUCUUGCUAAUGAGCAUAUCCAAGUCAAUACAUAAGAUUAAUUAUUACAUAUGGUAAUUGAAACCCUGUUUAAAUAAAUAGUGACACAAAUAUAAAAAAUAUAUAUAUUUAAAAAUAAAUAAAUAACAAUUUAGAGAAUUUCAUAACUUAGUAUCAAACCUAUUGUAGGAAAGAGUAUUAUACAAUGUAGGGUUUAGGAUCAAAGUUAACCUAAGAUCAAUUUUAAGUUUUAAGACCAAUUCAAAUUCAAAACUAAGGUUUUAAGUUUCAAAAAUAUAUCUCUUAAACCAAUUAAAUAGAAAAAAGAAAAUUACAAAGAAAAUUUCUUCCUCAUCGGUUUCUUUUAUCUUGAAAACUAAAGGAAAUAUAUAUCAAUAUUUGAGAUGGAAAUUCAUAAUCUUAGAAACACAAAGAACAAAGAGAGUAUGAAGAGACCAUACCAUGAGAGAUUUUCCAAAAGGUUGGUAAACCAUGGUAAUCACCUUUGAGUUUUGCUGAGAAAAACAAACCUUAAUUUUUAUUUUUAUUUUUUUAUCAUUUUUUCUCUUGUGGUGUACAUUUAAGAAAAACAAAUCUUAAAAAAAAAAAAAAAAAAACCAAAUAAUGCCAGAAUUUGGGUUGAGAAACACCCAAAAGAUAGUGGCCCAAUACAUGUGCCUAAGAAAAUCUUCAUGAGCCGAUAAACAUAGUCACAAAACUAGUAACAGCCUUGUAGCCAUAGUUGGUGUAGUAUGAGCAAGUGGGGUAUGAAGUAGGUAGGUGAGUAUUGCAAUGAAAUUUCCAGCACUGCUUCCUGAAUUAAGAAAUCACAUACCCAAGUCUUAGUCGUCGUCGUCGUACCGUGUGAGAACCGGGAAGAAUCUUUGCUCGUAGAGUGGCUUUUGUAGUCUUUCUUUAACAAUUACAAGUUAUCUGAAUUCCCUUCAUCCUCCUAUAUAAUAUUGUUUUUGGUCUUGUUCUUGUUGCAUUGUGGCUAGGCAUCUCCAUGGAAGGAAGGAGGAUGAAUCAAGUUCCUUUGUAUGAAUCAAUUUCUCUGCUCUUUUUCUUUUCAAUCCGUGAAUCGAAUCAUUGCUUAGUUCUUGCUUUAAUUUCUCCAUUUUCUGUUGGGUCUUUGACUGCAGGUUUAGCUCUGCAAGAGAACUGGGAAAUUUAAUGGUGACCUCCAAUCUAAUCGACUCUGCUUUGACUAAAAUUCUUGAGCUUCAAAGAGACCAAACAGCCUUGCUUUCCUCCGUUCAAUACAGAGUUUUUUAUCCAUCUCCCAAGUGCACAAUUGUAGCUUUUGUCUCUUCACCUGACUGCACUCAAAACCCUCUUCCUGGACAAGGAGAUUUAGUUCCGUCUCCUCUCUUUGACUUCCUCUGCACCGAAGAAUACAAGUCCGUCUCCAUUAACAGAGCUGCAUUAACCCUCUUUACCUCUUUCCACGAUCAUCUCUCUGGACUAAAAACUCAGGUCAAAAUAUGAUAGUUGUUUUUAUUUUCGUUUCCUUUUUGUUAACAAUUGUGAGACAUGAAACAGCUUGACCAUGAGAUCUCUCUCAUAGAGUCAAACUACCUGAAGAAGAAGAAGACGUUACACAUAUCCAUCUGCGUUGCAUCAUCGCAUUACCCAUUGAUCGGUUGUGAUUCAACUCUUAAUAGGAAGACAGUAGAACUGGUGUUGGUAUCUGUUUUUAGAUCAGCUUAUAUGUAUCUUGUUUCUAAAAAAGGUAAGUUUAGAAGUGAGAUUAAUGGGAUUAUUCUGACAUGGAUUCCAUAUGGUUACCUGUUUUGCAGUUGACUCAGAUUGAAGGUCAAUUAAUCAUCACUGGGCACUCCCUGGGAGGAUCCGUUGCUUCUCUCUUCACCUUAUGCCUGCUAGAUGGAAAUUUAUUAAAACCCAACUGCCGCCCCUUUUGUAUCACCUUUGGUUCACCCCUCAUCGGCGGCUUUGGCCUCCAACACUCCAUAUGGAAUUCUUUCUUCCUGCAUGUAGUGUCUAACCAAGACCCAGUCCCCGGUCUCUUCCUCCCAUCUGGCAGAGGCAGAUCUACGCCCACAUCCUCCCAUUCACAAACUACCGGUUACAAGCCCUUUGGGACAUAUCUCUUGUGCUCUGAACUUGGUUGUGCUUGUUUGGAAAAGCCUGAUUUAAUUUUGGGAUUGCUGAAAGUCAGAUCAUCCGAGGUUGCCGGAGGAUUGCAGGAUGUUGAUUAUGGGGAGAUUUUAAGAAACCUCAAGGAGAGGGCAAUCUGCAAGGGACUUCAGCAGGUGGGUGAAAGGUUUGCAGAUCCUUUUACAGCUGGGAUCAUCAUGGACCUUGAGAUAAUUGGAUUUGAUCAAACAAAGGUAAACAGCUAGCUUUCUCCCAUCUAAUGAUGUUAUGAAACAUGGUUUACACUUCACCAAAUACUGCAACAACUGCCCUAUUUAGAUUUGCCGUCUUGUUCUUUGGGAUCUUCCAUAACUAGACUCAUUUUUUAAUUUCAUGGCAGCUGCUGCAGCAUAACAUUGAUAUCGAGACUGUGAUAAGCACAAUGGAAGAGGAAGCCAGAAACCCAACCAAAAAAAAUAAAGCUUUCGAUGCCAAGAUUCUGAAUCACAAAAAAAAAGACAUGGCCGGGCUAGAAUGGUAUAAGAAGAAAUCAAAAGAUCUGAACAAGGGUUACUACGACUGCUUCAAAAACCAGGGGUCAAAAAGGGACAUUAAAAUUGAACAGUAUGGGGGACACCUCACAUUAUACUGGAAAGACAUGGUUGCACAAGUACAGAGGAAGCCCCAGAAGGAAGGAGCAACAUUUCGAACCCGUUGGCUCUAUGCAGGGACGGUUUAUAGAAGAAUGGUUGAACCACUGGACAUUGCUGCCUUCUACGUAGAGGGUGGAACAGACUACAUGAAGAAUGAAAGAUCUCUUCAUUACAAGCUGUUGCAGCAAUGGUAUGAGGAAGAUGUGAAACCCCCCUCUAAGGAUAAGCUUGAUUCCAAGAAGCAAAAGGUGUCUGGUAUCCUAACUGAGGAUUCUUGCUUUUGGGCACAUGUGGAGGAGGCUAUCUUGUCAUGCGAAUUGCUUAAGAGUGAAAACUGUACUCUUGAGCAGGAAAAAUCAUCAUGGGAUAAUCUGGUUAAGUUCGAGGAGUAUGUAAUGGAACAGAUUAACAACUAUGCAGUGUCCCCUGAGAUUUUCUUGGGGGAAAGCAGCUUCAUGAAAUGGUGGGGACUGUAUGAGGGCUACAUAUAUGCUCGCAGUAAUUCCCAUAGGUCACCAUUGAUCAGCUUUAUGAAGAACGGUAGUUAUACAGAGUAUCGUUAGAGGGGUAAUCCAGUUUGUGUGUUGUGUGUAUUGUUUUGUGAGCAUUCAAUGGAUAGAACUAGAAAGAGUGUGACCUUUUUCCUUUUUUUCUUCUAGUUGCUGCCCAUAUUCUCAGCACUAUUUUCUUCCUUCUUUUCCUCAGUUUUUUCUUAAGAAAUGAAUAUUAUGAUGUUGCUGGGAUGCACUUUCAUUUUUGUUCCAUUACAUUGUGUUUUAUUCAUAUCCUAAACAAAUAAAUGUAAACAAGAAAAUCAAAUAAGACUUCAAAGAGUCUGUUCCUUUUAAAGCAAGGGAAAAAAAGGACAUGUUUGUUUACUUCCACAGCUGGGUAGAUUCAACUCCACCAAAAUUGGCAACAACUUCCCAUUGAAAAAUUCCUUCUAAGCUUGAAUGACAUAAAACUAGAUAUGUUCCAGCUAGAAUGGUACAAAAAAGAAAUCAAAAGAUGAGCACAAUGGGUUAUUAUGACAGCUUUAGAAACCAUCUUACAACACAUCCAUCAGAAUUUAGACUAUUCAUAGAAACAUUCUUAACAUGUAAAUCUACUAUUGCCAUGCACGUCAACAUAGAAUUUCUAAAAUGAUUGAAUAAAAUAAAUAAAACAAAAGAAACCCUUCCAAGAGAAUUUCAUAAUCUAAUGUCAAAUCUAUUACGAAGAUGAACAUGUAAAAUUUAAGGUUUAUAAUCAAAGUCGACUUGAAUCUGAGUUUUAAAACCAAUUUGCAGUUUUUAAGUUUGGAGACUAGAUCUCUUAAACCAAUUAAAUGUAAAAAACUAAAAAGAAAACUUCUUCAAAUUUUGAAAUGAGAAUGAGAAUGCAAUUCCUAACUAGUUUCUUCAUCAAAAAUCCCGAAAAAAAAAAAAAAAGAAGAGAGAGAGAGACCAUAGACGCCAGUGUUUGGGUUUAGAACCACCCAAGAGAGAGUAGUCCAAUAUAUGGGCUUAAGAAAAUCCUCAUGGGCCUAAGCUAAGACUAGGAACAAUCUUGUAUCCGUGGUUGGUUUAGUAUGAGCAUGUGUACUGCGAAGGAAGUAGCUGAGAAUUGCAAUGGAAUUUCCAGUACUGCUUCCUGAACGAACAAAUCGCAUACCCAAGAUUUGGUCGUCAACGCCAUGCUGGGUGAGAACCGGGGAAGCAUCUUCGCUCGUUGACGAGCUUUUGUAGUCCUUCUUUAACAAUUAUAAGGCAUCUGAAUUCCCUUCAUCCUCCCACACCAUUGUUUUUGGUCUUGUUCUUGUUGCUUUGUGACUACGCAUCUCCAUGGAAGGAAGGAGGAUGAACCAAGUUCCUUUGUAUGCAUCAAUUUUACUGUUUUUUUUUUCCUUUUUAAUCUUUGGAUCGAAUCAUUGCUUAGUUCUUGCUUAAUUUCUCCAUUUUAUGUUGGGUCUUUGAUUGCAGGUUUAGCUCUGCGCGAGAACUGGGAAAUUUAAUUGUGACCUCCAAUCUAAUCGACUCUGCUUUGACUAAAAUUCUUGAGCUUCAAAGAGACCAAACAGCCUUGCCUUCCCCCGUUCAAUACAGAGUUUUUUAUCCAUCUCCCAAGUGCACAAUUGUAGCUUUUGUCUCUUCACCUGACUGCACUCAAAACCCUCUUCCUGGACAAGGAGAUUUAGUUCCCUCUCCUCUCUUUGACUUCCUCUGCACCGAAGAAUACCCUUCCGUCUCCAUUAACGGAGCCGCAUUAACCCUCUUUACCUCUCUCUACGAUCAUCUCUCUGGACUAAUAGAUGAGGUCAAAAUCUGAUACUUGUUUUAAUUUACGUUAACUUUUCGUUAACAAUUGUGAGACACGUAUAUAUAUAUAUAUAUAUAUAUAUCUUGUGGAUAAAAGGAAAGUUUACAAGUGAGAAUAGUGGCAUUUUUCUGACAGAUUUCACACCGUUGCUUGUUUUGCACUUGACUGUGAUUGAAGGUCGAUUAAUCAUCACUGGGCACUCGAUGGGAGGAUCCGUUGCUUCUCUCUUCACCUUAUGCCUGCUAGAAGUCAUUAAUAUAUCAAAACCCAAAUGCCGCCCCAUUUGCAUCACAUUUGGUUCACCCCUCAUAGGCGACUUUGGCUUCCAACACUCCAAUUGGAAUUCUUUCUUCUUGCAUGUAGUGUCCAACCAAGAUCUAGUCCCCGGACUCUUCCUCCCAUCCGGCAGAUCUCCUCCCACAUCCUCCCAUUCACAAACUACUGGUUACAAGCCCUUUGGGACAUAUCUCUUGUGCUCUGAACUUGGUUGUGCUUGUUUUGACAACCCUGAUUUAAUUUUGGAAUUGCUGAAAGUCAUAUCAUCAGAGGUUGCCGGAGGAUUGCGGGAUGUUGAUUACAGGAAGAUUUUAAUAAACCUCAAGGAGAGGGCAAUCUUCAAGGGACUUCAGCAGGUGGGUGAAAGGUUUGCAGAUCCCUUGUCAGCUGGGAUCAUCAUGGACCUUGAGAUAAUUGGAUUUGAUCAAACAAAGGUAAACAGCUUUCUCCCAAUUAAUGAUGUAGCAUGGUUUACACUCAACUUCACCAAAACCUGCAACAACUGCCCUAUUUAGAUUUGCCUUCCGGUUCUUUGGGUUCUUCUAUAACUUCUCAUUUUUUAAAUCCAUGGCAGCUGUUGCGGCACAACAUUGAUAUCAACACUGUGAUAAGGAUACUGGGAGCGGAAGCCAGAAUCCUAGCCCACAAAAAUAAAGCUUCUGAUGCCAAGAAACUGAAUGACAUAAAAAUACACAUGGCCCAGCUAGAAUGGUAUAAGAAGAAAUCAAAAGAUCUGAACAAGGGUUACUACGACUGCUUCAAAAACCAGGGGUUAAAAAGGGACAUUAAAAUUGAACAGUAUAGGGGACACCUCACAAUAUACUGGAAAGACAUGGUUGCACAAGUACAGAGGAAGCCCCAGAAGGAAGGAGCAUCAUUUCGAACCAGUUGGCUCUAUCCAGGGACAACUUAUAGAAGAAUGGUUGAACCACUGGACAUUGCUGCCUUCUACAGAGAGGGUAGAACAGACUACAUAAACAAUGGAAGAUCUCCUCAUUACAAGCUGUUGCAGCAAUGGUAUGAGGAAGAUGUGAAGCCCCCAUCCAGAGAUAAGCUCGAUUCCAAGAAACUAAAGGUGUCUGGUAUCCUAACUGAGGAUUCUUUGUUUUGGGCACAUGUGGAGGAGGCUCUCUUGUCAUGCGAAUCGCUCAAGAGUGCAAACUCUACUCUUGAGCAGAGAAAAUCAUCAUGGGAUAAUCUGGUUAAGUUUGGGGAGUAUGUAAUGGAACAGAUUGGAAACUAUGCAGUGUCCCCUGAGAUUUUCUUGGGGGAAAGCAGCUUCAUGAAAUGGUGGGGAGUGUAUGAGGACUACAUAGAUGCUUCCAAUAAUUUCUAUGGGUCACCAUUGAUCAACUUUAUGAAGGACCGUAGUUAUAGACUGUAUGGUUAGAGGGCAAUCCAGUUUGUGUAUUGUGUUUAUUGUAUUGUGAGCAUUCAAUAGAUAAAACUAGAAAGAGCGUGACCUUUUUAUGACAACUUUAGAAACCAGGGGUUAAAAGAGACAUUACAAAUUGAAUUUUUUGAGAGGAAACCUCAAGAGUAUACUGGGAAGCCAUGGUGGAACAAGUAGAGAGGAAGCUUCGGAAGGAAGGAUCAAUGGUUGAACCACUUGACAUUGUUGCCUACUUCAGGGAGGGUGUAAGAAACAACAUAACCGAGGGAAGAUCUGAACAUUAAACAUUGUACAAUUAUUGUAAAUGUCUUAUACAUUACGUGUGAAAAUACCAAAAAAAAUUAUAUUCAACAUUUAUGUUUGUAUACAAGCAAUAUUUUGGAUAGUUUGAUAUAAAAAACAAAUGAAGAAAACGAAGAAAAACAUACAAAUAUAUUUACAAUGGACAAACUUAUACAAUUAGUGUAAAUGUCUUGUAUAUUUAGUACAAAAGUCUCGUACUUUGUAAAAAUAUAAAAAUAUAGUAUUUGACUUUUAUAUAUGUGUGAAAAUGUAAAAGGAAAAAGAAAAAUAGUUAGAGCAUUUGGUACCGUGAGUGAUGACUUCACCUAAAGAAAGGUUAAUGAAUAUUAUGGUCUCGAUGGAAGAGCGACUCCGGUAAAAUAUAUGGAUUAAAUUGAUGCUUUUCUUUUGACGAUGAAGUAGUUGAGUUAUGAAUACGAGGUUUUGCUAACAACAUUGAAGGCAAGGAUUCCCUAAUAUACUCCAAUUCAUAUUCAAUUUGUAGACCUUCAACUAACUACUCUUGCUAAUGAGCAUAUCCAAGUGAAUACAUAAGAUUAAUUAUUACAUAUGAUAAUUGAAACCCUGUUUAAAUAAAUAGUGACACAAAUAUAAAAAAUAUAUAUAUUUAAAAAUAAAUAAAUAAUAAUUUAGAGAAUUUCAUAACUUAGCAUCAAACCUAUUGUAGGAAAGAGUAUUAUACAAUGUAGGGUUUAGGAUCAAAGUUAACCUAAGAUCAAAUUUAAGUCUUAAGACCAAUUCACAUUCAAAACUAAGGUUUUAAAUUUCAAAAAUAUAUCUCUUAAACCAAUUAAAUGGAAAAAAGAAAAUUACAAAGAAAAUUUCUUCCUCAUCGGUUUCUUUUAUCUUGAAAACUAAAGGAAAUAUAUAUCAAUAUUUGAGAUGGAAAUUCAUAAUCUUAGAAACACAAAGAACAAAGAGAGUAUGAAGAGACCAUACCAUGAGAGAUUUUCCAAAAGGUUGGUAAACCAUGGUAAUCACCUUUGAGUUUUGCUGAGAAAAACAAACCUUAAUUUUUAUUUUUAUUUUUUUAUCAUUUUUUCUCUUGUGGUGUACAUUUAAGAAAAACAAAUCUUAAAAAAAAAAAAAAAAAAACCAAAUAAUGCCAGAAUUUGGGUUGAGAAACACCCAAAAGAUAGUGGCCCAAUACAUGUGCCUAAGAAAAUCUUCAUGAGCCGAUAAACAUAGUCACAAAACUAGGAACAGCCUUGUAGCCAUAGUUGGUGUAGUAUGAGCAAGUGGGGUAUGAAGUAGGUAGGUGAGUAUUGCAAUGAAAUUUCCAGCACUGCUUCCUGAAUUAAGAAAUCACAUACUCAAGUCUUAAUCGUUGUCAUCAUACCGUGUGAGAACCGAGGAAGAAUCUUUGCUCUUAGACUGGAUUUUGUAGUCUUUCUUUAACAAUUACAAGUUAUCUGAAUUCCCUUCAUCCUCCUAUAUAAUAUUGUUUUUGGUCUUGUUCUUGUUGCAUUGUGGCUAGGCAUCUCCAUGGGAGGAAGGAGGAUGAAUCAAGUUCCUUUGUAUGAAUCAAUUUCUCUGCUCUUUUUUUUUUCAAUCCUUGAAUCGAAUCAUUGCUUAGUUCUUGCUUUAAUUUCUCCAUUUUCUGUUGGGUCUUUGAUUGCAGGUUUAGCUCUGCAAGAAAACUGGGAAAUUUAAUUGUGACCUCCAAUCUAAUCGACUCUGCUUUGACUAAAAUUCUUGAGCUUCAAAGAGACCAAACAGCCUUGCCUUCCCCCGUUCAAUACAGAGUUUUUUAUCCAUCUCCCAAGUGCACAAUUGUAGCUUUUGUCUCUUCACCUGACUGCACUCAAAACCCUCUUCCUGGACAAGGAGAUUUAGUUCCCUCUCCUCUCUUUGACUUCCUCUGCACCGAAGAAUACAAGUCCGUCUCCAUUAACAGAGCUGCAUUAACCCUCUUUACCUCUCUCCACGAUCAUCUCUCUGGACUAAAAACUCAGGUCAAAAUAUGAUAGUUGUUUUUAUUUUCGUUUCCUUUUUGUUAACAAUUGUGAGACAUGAAACAGCUUGACCAUGAGAUCUCUCUCAUAGAGUCAAACUACCUGAAGAAGAAGAAGACGUUACACAUAUCCAUCUGCGCUGCAUCAUCGCAUUACCCAUUGAUCGGUUGUGAUUCAACUCUUAAUAGGAAGACAGUAGAACUGGUGUUGGUAUCUGUUUUUAGAUCAGCUUAUAUGUAUCUUGUUGCUAAAAAGGGAAAGUUUAGAAGUGAGAUUAAUGGGAUUAUUCUGACAUGGAUUUCAUAUGGUUACCUGUUUUGCAGUUGACUGUGAUUGAAGGUCGAUUAAUCAUCACUGGGUACUCGAUGGGAGGAUCCGUUGCUUCUCUCUUCACCUUAUGCCUGUUAGAAGUCAUCAAUUUAUCAAAACCCAAAUGCCGCCCCAUUUGUAUCACCUUUGGUUCACCCCUCAUAGGCGACUUUGGCCUCCAACACUCCAAUUGGAAUUCUUUCUUCUUGCAUGUAGUGUCCAACCAAGAUCUAGUCCCCGGACUCUUCCUCCCAUCCGACAGAUCUCCUCCCACAUCCUCCCAUUCACAAAC